This 253-nucleotide ribosomal RNA is filed under the name uncultured bacterium. RNAcentral's name for it is "partial 16S ribosomal RNA". It matches the Rfam family "Bacterial small subunit ribosomal RNA", at positions 524 to 776 of the family's 1533-position model. The record is from RNAcentral.
UACGUAGGGGGCUAGCGUUGUCCGGAUUUAUUGGGCGUAAAGAGCGUGUAGGCGGCCUGACAGGUCUGCUGUGAAAACUCGAGGCUCAACCUCGAGAUGUCGGCGGAAACCGUCUGGCUAGAGUCCGGAAGAGGAGAGUGGAAUUCCUGGUGUAGCGGUGAAAUGCGCAGAUAUCAGGAAGAACACCUAUGGCGAAGGCAGCUCUCUGGGACGGUACUGACGCUGAGACGCGAAAGCGUGGGGAGCAAACAGG